Passer domesticus (house sparrow) is the source of this 447-nucleotide long non-coding RNA. RefSeq lists it as uncharacterized. NCBI's taxonomy places the organism in Eukaryota, Metazoa, Chordata, Aves, Passeriformes, Passeridae. The record is from RefSeq and is a predicted model, not a curated record. The transcript has 2 exons.
CAAGUUUCUCUCAGACUCACUCACCUGUGUGUGAGCAGUUUAGAUCCCAAAGCCCAGAGCACUUGGCUUUGUGGGCAAGGAGUCCCGCAGGACAACAGAUGGCUCAUUCUACUUGUUACUGCCAUGGGACCUCAGCUCCCCUCUCCCCCUGCUCCAGAACAAGUACCAGGCUCCCACAGCAGCCCUCUGGACUACAGGAAGAAGGGGAGAAGUCAGUGCUCAAAAUAAAAUAAGGCCUCAAGGAUUUUGGCCGUACCUCAGUGUUGUCCUGUUCUGACGUCUCAUGGUCAUGGUCCAAGCUUUCCUUGCUCUGCUUCCCUGAAGAUUUGCACUUCCCCUUCUUGCACUUCCCCCUGCAGGGCUUCUUUUCCCCUCUGCAGAGCGCCUGGAGCCGAAUGAGGAAUUUGGCUUUCCAGGCCUCAAAGUCAGCCUCAAUGCUGCCGUGCU